Hemicordylus capensis (graceful crag lizard) is the source of this 997-nucleotide long non-coding RNA. RefSeq lists it as uncharacterized. NCBI's taxonomy places the organism in Eukaryota, Metazoa, Chordata, Lepidosauria, Squamata, Cordylidae. The transcript is spliced from 3 exons. The record is from RefSeq and is a predicted model, not a curated record.
GGAAGUGCGGAAGAGUCAGAUCAGGGCUCAUAGAGUAGAGGCAGAUAGAAGAGUUGAGGGAGACCCCCACUCACGACCUCUACUCCCAAUGCCCCUAGUGGUCAUCAUUAGGAUAGUUGGUGCAAGAGGUCGAUGCACUGGAACUCCAUCUCCAACAAUUGUGACUGUGUGAUUGGAAAGGCUGGUGCUACACAACCAAACGAAACCCCCCUCCUCUCUCUGGAUGAGCUGUUAGGGCACCCUUUGCCUCUUCCCAGGAAUCUUGCUGGCCAGCUAAUUGCUCAGCUAGGGAGGCAUCUGCAGUCAGUGACAUCUAGGACAAGGAGGACUAGUCAUCCUGAAGAGGUGAUAACGCACAAUGUAGCAUUACAGUGUAAGGACUGGAGGGAGGACUAGGCCUCGCUUAGAGCCAAAUCAAAGGGACCAGCUCAGAGGAGCGGGCGGGAUUCCUGGCUCCACCCCCAGCAGAAGCUCUGGUCUCCUGGUGAGUCUGUCCCAGGAGGAGGAGGAGGAGGAGGACCCCGAGGAAGAAGCAGGCCGAGAGCUGCUGGGGAGAUGGGAAGAAGGCCGCAGCCUGUGAGGAAGAAGGACCAGGACAUCCGUGCAAGGCCUCCGGAGGGAAGUGGUUCUUCUGUGCGGAUCGCUGGGGAUCUGCAUUGCCAGAACGAGAACAUUGAGGCGCUCCAGAGGAUGAUCAGGGCUUUGCUGGAGGAGGCCCCCUCUGUCUGGAACUUAAUCAGCAUCUUGAAGAUCUGACUACUGGGAUCUGACUACUGGAGUGGAGAAAAUGGAAAGAGCUGAGGUAGGGAUCCAUUCAGAAAAGGGCCUUCCUCCCUAGAGCCCAGGACAUUUCUCUGAGAGGCAUUUGCCCCAUACGGGAUCUGAAAGCUCCCACUCUCUGCUCUGAUCCCUUUCCCACUUCUGCAUUAUCCCUGAGAGGCAGAAGCAGAAUAUUCCAUGGAGGGGGUGGGGUCCCCAGAAAGGACCUGAGAGCAGC